This 493-nucleotide ribosomal RNA is filed under the name uncultured bacterium. RNAcentral describes it as "partial 16S ribosomal RNA". It matches the Rfam family "Bacterial small subunit ribosomal RNA", at positions 29 to 523 of the family's 1533-position model. The record is from RNAcentral.
AUUGAACGCUGGCGGCAUGCUUUACACAUGCAAGUCGAACGGUAACAGGUUAAGCUGACGAGUGGCGAACGGGUGAGUAAUGCAUCGGAACGUGCCCGGUCGUGGGGGAUAACGCAGCGAAAGCUGCGCUAAUACCGCAUACGAUCUGAGGAUGAAAGCGGGGGACCGUAAGGCCUCGCGCGAUCGGAGCGGCCGAUGUCAGAUUAGGUAGUUGGUGGGGUAAAGGCUAACCAAGCCAACGAUCUGUAGCUGGUCUGAGAGGACGACCAGCCACACAGGGACGGGGACCCGGCCCAGGCUCCUACGGGAGUCAGCAGUGGGGAAUUUUGGAAAAUGGGCGAAAGCCUGAUCCAGCAAUGCCGCGUGCAGGAAGAAGGCCUUCGGGUUGUAAACUGCUUUUGUACGGAGCGAAAAGGUCUCCUCUAAUACAGGGGGCUCAUGACGGUACCGUAAGAAUAAGCACCGGCUAACUACGUGCCAGCCGCCGCCGUAA